RNAcentral lists this ribosomal RNA (301 nucleotides) under uncultured bacterium. RNAcentral's name for it is "partial 16S ribosomal RNA". It matches the Rfam family "Bacterial small subunit ribosomal RNA", at positions 509 to 807 of the family's 1533-position model. The record is from RNAcentral.
CAGCCACCGCGGGAAUACGUAGGGUGCGAGCGUUGUCCGGAUUUAUUGGGCGUAAAGGGCUCGUAGGUGGUUGAUCGCGUCGGAAGUGUAAUCUUGGGGCUUAACCCUGAGCGUGCUUUCGAUACGGGUUGACUUGAGGAAGGUAGGGGAGAAUGGAAUUCCUGGUGGAGCGGUGGAAUGCGCAGAUAUCAGGAGGAGCACCAGUGGCGAAGGCGGUUCUCUGGGCCUUUCCUGACGCUGAGGAGCGAAAGCCAGGGGAGCGAACGGGAUUAGAUACCCCCGUAGUCUCUGUCUCUUAUAC